UACGUAGGGGGCUAGCGUUAUCCGGAAUUACUGGGUGUAAAGGGUGCGUAGGCGGGACCGCAAGUCAGACGUGAAAUACCGGGGCCUAACUCCGGGGCUGCGUUUGAAACUGUGGUUCUUGAGUGAAGUAGAGGCAGGCGGAAUUCCUAGUGUAGCGGUGAAAUGCGUAGAUAUUAGGAGGAACACCAGUGGCGAAGGCGGCUUUCUGGACUGUAACUGACACUGAGGCACGAAAGCGUGGGGAUCAAAC
RNAcentral lists this ribosomal RNA (250 nucleotides) under uncultured bacterium. RNAcentral's name for it is "partial 16S ribosomal RNA". It matches the Rfam family "Bacterial small subunit ribosomal RNA", at positions 524 to 773 of the family's 1533-position model. The record is from RNAcentral.